This 200-nucleotide ribosomal RNA is filed under the name uncultured bacterium. RNAcentral's name for it is "partial 16S ribosomal RNA". It matches the Rfam family "Bacterial small subunit ribosomal RNA", at positions 8 to 205 of the family's 1533-position model. The record is from RNAcentral.
AGAGUUUGAUCCUGGCUCAGAACGAACGCUGGCGGCGUGCUUAACACAUGCAAGUCGAACGCGAAAGGGACUUCGGUCCUGAGUAAAGUGGCGCACGGGUGAGUAACGCGUGGAUAAUCUGCCCAAUGGUCCGGGAUAACAUUUCGAAAGGGGUGCUAAUACCGGAUAAGACCACGGGAUCUUAGGAUCUUGCGGUAAAA